RNAcentral lists this ribosomal RNA (568 nucleotides) under Salmonella enterica subsp. enterica serovar Enteritidis. Its description in RNAcentral is "bacterial SSU rRNA". It matches the Rfam family "Bacterial small subunit ribosomal RNA", at positions 82 to 646 of the family's 1533-position model. Lineage: Bacteria; Pseudomonadati; Pseudomonadota; Gammaproteobacteria; Enterobacterales; Enterobacteriaceae. The record is from RNAcentral.
GCUUUGCUGACGAGUGGCGGACGGGUGAGUAAUGUCUGGGAAACUGCCUGAUGGAGGGGGAUAACUACUGGAAACGGUGGCUAAUACCGCAUAACGUCGCAAGACCAAAGAGGGGGACCUUCGGGCCUCUUGCCAUCAGAUGUGCCCAGAUGGGAUUAGCUUGUUGGUGAGGUAACGGCUCACCAAGGCGACGAUCCCUAGCUGGUCUGAGAGGAUGACCAGCCACACUGGAACUGAGACACGGUCCAGACUCCUACGGGAGGCAGCAGUGGGGAAUAUUGCACAAUGGGCGCAAGCCUGAUGCAGCCAUGCCGCGUGUAUGAAGAAGGCCUUCGGGUUGUAAAGUACUUUCAGCGGGGAGGAAGGUGUUGUGGUUAAUAACCGCAGCAAUUGACGUUACCCGCAGAAGAAGCACCGGCUAACUCCGUGCCAGCAGCCGCGGUAAUACGGAGGGUGCAAGCGUUAAUCGGAAUUACUGGGCGUAAAGCGCACGCAGGCGGUCUGUCAAGUCGGAUGUGAAAUCCCCGGGCUCAACCUGGGAACUGCAUUCGAAACUGGCAGGCUUGAG